This 190-nucleotide non-coding RNA is filed under the name Spirochaetota bacterium. RNAcentral describes it as "Spirochaetes bacterium 6S RNA". It matches the Rfam family "6S / SsrS RNA". Rfam says of the family: E. coli 6S RNA was the first non coding RNA to be sequenced, but its function was unknown until recently. It consists of 184 nucleotides that fold into an extended hairpin structure with a large single-stranded internal bulge. The record is from RNAcentral. Lineage: Bacteria; Pseudomonadati; Spirochaetota.
AUCAACCUGCUGUGUUUGUGAUGCUGGUUACCAUAUUUUUGAGCCAACACUCAAUAGAACGGGAUGUCGAUAUCUGAUUGUGGAUUGCGCUCGCCCUCGAGGUUAUAGAGUACAUGAAGCUGUCGUGAGACAACCCACCUGGUUAUCCAGGUUCAAAAAGGGCCCAGUACACGGCACAAGCGGGUUUUAU